UUGAGAUAAGUUUGGUUAGGUUGUUGCUGGCUUCUUAGGAGUAUGUGCACGCCUACGCCAUCUUUAACCACUGUGCACUUUGUGUAGGUUUAGAUACUUGAGAAUGGCUUAGGUUGUUCUCGUAUCUAGGUCUAUGUAUUUAUACACUAUAAAAGUCUUAGAAUGUUGUAUAUAGGCCGUUGUGCCUUUAAAAUACAAAA
RNAcentral lists this unclassified non-coding RNA (200 nucleotides) under uncultured Basidiomycota. RNAcentral describes it as "sequence contains ITS1". The record is from RNAcentral. Lineage: Eukaryota; Fungi; Basidiomycota.